Molecule: ribosomal RNA, 207 nt
Filed under: uncultured bacterium
Lineage: Bacteria
Description: partial 16S ribosomal RNA
Rfam family: Bacterial small subunit ribosomal RNA
Source: RNAcentral
CGUGUAGGCGGCAUCGCACGUCGGGUGUGAAAGCCCGGGGCUCAACCCCGGCAGUGCACCCGAAACGACGAUGCUAGAGUGCUGGAGAGGCGGGUGGAAUUCCCGGUGUAGAGGUGAAAUUCGUAGAUAUCGGGAGGAACACCGGUGGCGAAGGCGACCCGCUGGCCAGCGACUGACGCUGAGACGCGAAAGCGUGGGGAGCAAACA